This 529-nucleotide long non-coding RNA is filed under the name Piliocolobus tephrosceles (Ugandan red Colobus). Its description in RNAcentral is "lncRNA (ENSPTEG00000012888.1)". The record is from RNAcentral. Lineage: Eukaryota; Metazoa; Chordata; Mammalia; Primates; Cercopithecidae.
UUUACAUAAUAACGUAAUUAUUGCCUUAAUUUUGCUUAUUUUUUUUUAUAAAAAUUUUCUUAUAAUAUAGAAAAUGUAGUGAAACCGGAUAUUAUAAAACUGAACAAAAGAAUAAAAUCGAUGAAUGAAGGAAAAGACAUUUAUAAAGAACUUAUUAAACCUCCCAACAAAUUUUUACAUCCAGAUAAUAAAGAUGCAGUAAUACCCCAACAUAAGUUAAUAAAAAAAAUUGAUUUUAGAUCUGAAGCAUUACCACUAUCAGGUAUUUUUGCACCUCUCACUUAUAAAUUAUCGUAUAAGUAUGUAUUAUGUUUGUUAUAUAUUAUUACAUAUAUGCAUAUGUUUUACGUAUAGUAAGAAAAUGUUCUUCUUCUUUUUUUAUAAUUACAUACAUACUUAUAUAAUUUUAUCAAACGCUUGCGUCAAUGCAAACAAUUUUAGGAUUUGCUACUGCUGGAAAUAGGAGAAAGUAUGAUAAGAAUGAAAUUAAACAAAUAAAAAUACAAUAUGGUAAAAAAUUAGAUAUACA